This 331-nucleotide ribosomal RNA is filed under the name Priestia megaterium. Its description in RNAcentral is "bacterial SSU rRNA". It matches the Rfam family "Bacterial small subunit ribosomal RNA", at positions 555 to 885 of the family's 1533-position model. Lineage: Bacteria; Bacillati; Bacillota; Bacilli; Caryophanales; Bacillaceae. The record is from RNAcentral.
UGGGCGUAAGCGCGCGCAGGCGGUUUCUUAAGUCUGAUGUGAAAGCCCACGGCUCAACCGUGGAGGGUCAUUGGAAACUGGGGAACUUGAGUGCAGAAGAGAAAAGCGGAAUUCCACGUGUAGCGGUGAAAUGCGUAGAGAUGUGGAGGAACACCAGUGGCGAAGGCGGCUUUUUGGUCUGUAACUGACGCUGAGGCGCGAAAGCGUGGGGAGCAAACAGGAUUAGAUACCCUGGUAGUCCACGCCGUAAACGAUGAGUGCUAAGUGUUAGAGGGUUUCCGCCCUUUAGGGCUGCGGCUAACGCAUUAGGCACUCGGCCUGGGGAGUCCGG